UACUAUUUUUAAAAAGUAUCUUGAGGUAAAUUUUUCAGUAUAAAAAUUUAGUACAUUAAGGUACCGUGUAUCUUGGAAUACCAGAAUUAAAAUCCUAACCAUCUCUACUCAACAUUAGAUGAACGAUGCAUCAACCACAGCAGCUAUAAAAAACAGCACAUGGAUCACUUCCAUUUGGGUGCACAGAGAGAUCAGGACAGACACAUCGAUCUCUGUACGUUAGCUUGUGUGGUUAGUAUAGUGCUCCUGAACUCUUCAUUCCAAGUUCAUUGCUAGCUAGGUCAGGUGAAUGAAAAAUGGAGAACUGUGCAUGUAGGAGUUCAUUGCUAGCUAGGUCAGGUGAAUGGAAAAUGGAGAACUGUACAUAUAAGAAUAGGAGGUAUCGAGAUUGCUAGCUAGGUCAGGUGAAUAGGUCAGGUGAAUGUAAGAAUAGGAGGUAUCGAGAUUGCUAGCUAGGUCAAGCUAGGUCAGGUGAAUGGAAAAUAGCUAGGUCAAGCUAGAUCAGGUGAAUGGAAAAUGGAGAGAACUGUACAUGUAGGUGAAUGGAAAAUGGAGAGAACUGUACAGAACUGUACAUGUAAGAAUAGGAGGUAUCGAUAUAACAUAACACCGCUUAGCUGACCAGUAUCGCUCCAAUAGUAAUGUUGGAGGAGUAUGAUCGUCAUUGCUAA
RNAcentral lists this long non-coding RNA (671 nucleotides) under Oryza brachyantha (malo sina). RNAcentral describes it as "long non-coding RNA (OBRA_LNC001317)". Lineage: Eukaryota; Viridiplantae; Streptophyta; Magnoliopsida; Poales; Poaceae. The record is from RNAcentral.